UCCUUUGGAGUGAGGGUUGCUGUGAAAACCUCUGAUGCUGACAGCAAAAAAGACCUUUGUUGUAUGUGCUCGGGGUUAUAUCUAAGGCGAUGAUGUGCCCUCACUUUCAAAUCUGCUCACUUUGUUCCUUUUAACACCUGUGCACCAUAAGCAAGGUUCCAUUCACUGGGUUGGGCAUCUUUGUGAUUGAUAACAUGCACACAAUCUCUAGUCUUCUAGGCGAGAGAGCAGUGUAUACUUAUUGUGGGUCCUGCAAAUGAUCUGUUGAGGGAUCGACACAUCCCAAAACAGGAAAUGGCAAGUAGAUCUACAUGUACAUGUAUAUGUAUAUUUGCAAGGAUUCUCCAUGCCCUUUAAGUGAACGUGAGCUUUGUUUCUAAUAUACAUAAACUCUUGCAAUGUCUUGUAGAAUGGUAUUGAAAAAGUUUAUACAACUUUCAACAAUGGAUCUCUUGGCUCUCGCAUCGAUGAAGAACGCAGCGAAAUGCGAUAAGUAAUGUGAAUUGCAGAAUUCAGUGAAUCAUCGAAUCUUUGAACGCACCUUGCACUCCUUGGGCAACCUAUGGAGUAUGCCUGUUUGAGUGUCAUGUUAAUAUCAGUUCCCUCAGGUUUUUGUAAUGAAGACCUGCUUAGGUGAAUUGGAAUUGGAGGUUCAAUGCAGGUCCCCCCUACAUUAGGGAUCAGCUCCUCUUAAAUGCAUUAGCUGGAGGAUGAAAGCAAAAGUUGCUCUUUAGCACUGUUCAUCUGCUAUGGUGUAAUAA
Molecule: ribosomal RNA, 761 nt
Filed under: Coltricia verrucata
Lineage: Eukaryota; Fungi; Basidiomycota; Agaricomycetes; Hymenochaetales; Hymenochaetaceae
Description: eukaryotic LSU rRNA
Rfam family: 5.8S ribosomal RNA (bases 433-587)
Source: RNAcentral